This 444-nucleotide ribosomal RNA is filed under the name uncultured bacterium. RNAcentral describes it as "bacterial SSU rRNA". It matches the Rfam family "Bacterial small subunit ribosomal RNA", at positions 355 to 796 of the family's 1533-position model. The record is from RNAcentral.
UAAGGAAUAUUGGUCAAUGGGCGGAAGCCUGAACCAGCCAUGCCGCGUGCAGGAAGACGGCCCUACGGGUUGUAAACUGCUUUUGUACCGGAAUAAACCCCUGUAUGUAUAGGGGGCUGAAUGUACGGUAAGAAUAAGGAUCGGCUAACUCCGUGCCAGCAGCCGCGGUAAUACGGAGGAUCCAAGCGUUAUCCGGAUUUAUUGGGUUUAAAGGGUGCGUAGGCGGCUUUUUAAGUCAGGGGUGAAAGACGGUAGCUUAACUAUCGCAGUGCCCUUGAUACUGAAGAGCUUGAAUAUACUAGAGGUAGGCGGAAUGUGACAAGUAGCGGUGAAAUGCAUAGAUAUGUCACAGAACACCAAUUGCGAAGGCAGCUUACUAUGGUAUUAUUGACGCUGAGGCACGAAAGCGUGGGGAUCAAACAGGAUUAGAUACCCCGGUAGUCC